Molecule: ribosomal RNA, 270 nt
Filed under: uncultured bacterium
Lineage: Bacteria
Description: partial 16S ribosomal RNA
Rfam family: Bacterial small subunit ribosomal RNA
Source: RNAcentral
UGGCGUAAACAAAGGGAGGCAAGCGAGCAAUCGUAAGCAAACCCCAAAAAUAACGUCUCAGUUCGGACUGUGGUCUGCAACUCGACCACACGAAGCUGGAAUCGCUAGUAAUCGCGAAUCAGCAUGUCGCGGUGAAUACGUUCCCGGGUCUUGUACACACCGCCCGUCACACCAUGGGAGUCGGGAACACCCGAAGUCCGUAGUCUAACCGCAAGGGGGGCGCGGCCGAAGGUGGGUCCGGUAAUUGGGGUGAAGUCGUAACAAGGUAUC